This is a long non-coding RNA of Cyprinodon tularosa, 1066 nucleotides long. RefSeq lists it as uncharacterized. NCBI's taxonomy places the organism in Eukaryota, Metazoa, Chordata, Actinopteri, Cyprinodontiformes, Cyprinodontidae. The record is from RefSeq and is a predicted model, not a curated record. The transcript is spliced from 2 exons.
UCUGCUGUUUACCAAUAAACAUGAUUCUAAGGCACUUAAACUUGUUGGAAGAUUUUAGAUUUAUCAGUAGAGUUUUCAACACGCUGAUUUUUUAGGAGAGUUCUUGUAAAUGCAAUAGAUGGCAAAAUUAAAAACAUUUAAUUGACUAAUUUUCAUUAAUUGUUCCUUCCAUGUAAUCAUUUAGUUUGCACUUUAAUUAUAGAUAAGAAACCCAGAGCGCUCUGAAACUCACAGUAUUAGCCAAUCAGAAGAAGGGGGUGGGUCUUAGGAAAUCGUGUACUGCCUCCUCUCCUGCUCAAGUCGCCAGAUAGAUUGUGGGAAAGUCACCUUGCGCCGUUCACGGCUCCAUUCAACUGAGAGACGUGCUUAAAAUCAAAAAAUGAAACUGUGUUUGGAGAGAAGGAAGAUGAAGAAAACUGAAUUGAAUGGAGUGGGCACAAUGCAGUUCAUGAACUCCAGUAAAAAGGUGCUACGCAAACAUGAAUUAGACCCUGGUCAUCAAGCUGCUGUUCAUGCAGCUGCGCACACUAUACGUUUGCCGGUAACUAUGGCAACAGCUGAUUUACCAGCGUCAAUCACUGACCGUGUAUGCAAGUUAGAAUUAAGGGUUUGUACUUCCCUCACCGAACACAACCUCAGUCACACUAGAUAUAGAUGCACUUUUGCCAUCUUCUGUCCAUUUUUGGUGUUGGAAUUUUAGAAGUCAAAUUUAGUCUUCAAUCAUUCAUACAAUCUCUGAUCCAAUGCCCCCACACCCCCCACAGGUGCGAUGUUUAAUCACAUCUGAUAUUUCAGCUGUGCUGAGGCUUUUAUUGUGUUUUGUCAAAUGUUUAAAAAUAAAGUUAAGAAGUACAUAAUAAGGUUUGAUCAUAUCUUCUGGCCCUAAUAUCCACUUAACAGCUCCUCUUCCGUAGUGAAAUGUUCGUUUUGACUUGGUUCAAGUUCAGGGAUUUCUGUAAUUAGCAAAAACCUGCUGUCUGUUAUUAAAAUGAAGCUUACUCUACGCUAUGUUGAUAGGAGUGUUAGUGCACUAUUAAAGCAUUUUGUAUGCCAUGGUGAAUCAAUG